GCCUGGGUGGCUCAGUUGGUUAAGCGUCUGACUUUGGCUCCGGUCAUGAUCUCGUGGUUCAUGGGUUCGAGCCCCAUACCGGGCC
RNAcentral lists this transfer RNA (85 nucleotides) under Felis catus (domestic cat). It matches the Rfam family "tRNA". Rfam says of the family: Transfer RNA (tRNA) molecules are approximately 80 nucleotides in length. The record is from Rfam by way of RNAcentral. Lineage: Eukaryota; Metazoa; Chordata; Mammalia; Carnivora; Felidae.